UGGGCGUAAGAGCUCGUAGGCGGUUUGUCGCGUCUGCUGUGAAAGCCCGGGGCUCAACCCCNGGGUCUGCAGUGGGUACGNGGCAGACUAGAGUGCAGUAGGGGAGACUGGAAUUCCUGGUGUAGCGGUGAAAUGCGCAGAUAUCAGGAGGAACACCGAUGGCGAAGGCAGGUCUCUGGGCUGUUACUGACGCUGAGGAGCGAAAGCAUGGGGAGCGAACAGGAUUAGAUACCCUGGUAGUCCAUGCCGUAAACGUUGGGCACUAGGUGUGGGGGACAUUCCACGUUCUCCGCGCCGUAGCUAACGCAUUAAGUGCCCCGCCUGGGGAGUACGGCCGCAAGGCUAAAACUCAAAGGAAUUGACGGGGGCCCGCACAAGCGGCGGAGCAUGCGGAUUAAUUCGAUGCAACGCGAAGAACCUUACCAAGGCUUGACAUUCACCGGACCGCCCCAGAGAUGGGGUUUCCCUUCGGGGCCGGUGGACAGGUGGUGCAUGGUUGUCGUCAGCUCGUGUCGUGAGAUGUUGGGUUAAGUCCCGCAACGAGCGCAACCCUCGUUCUAUGUUGCCAGCACGUGAUGGUGGGGACUCAUAGGAGACUGCCGGGGUCAACUCGGAGGAAGGUGGGGAUGACGUCAAAUCAUCAUGCCCCUUAUGUCUUGGGCUUCACGCAUGCUACAAUGGCCGGUACAAAGGGUUGCGAUACUGUGAGGUGGAGCUAAUCCCAAAAAGCCGGUCUCAGUUCGGAUUGAGGUCUGCAACUCGACCUCAUGAAGUCGGAGUCGCUAGNUAAUCGCAGAUCAGCAACGCCNUGCGGUGAAUACGUUCCCGGGCCUUGUACACNACCGCCCGUCAAGUCACGAAAGUUGGUAACACCCGAAGCCGGUGGCCUAACCC
RNAcentral lists this ribosomal RNA (894 nucleotides) under Kocuria turfanensis. Its description in RNAcentral is "bacterial SSU rRNA". It matches the Rfam family "Bacterial small subunit ribosomal RNA", at positions 555 to 1441 of the family's 1533-position model. Lineage: Bacteria; Bacillati; Actinomycetota; Actinomycetes; Micrococcales; Micrococcaceae. The record is from RNAcentral.